RNAcentral lists this ribosomal RNA (643 nucleotides) under Liolaemus buergeri. Its description in RNAcentral is "partial 12S ribosomal RNA". It matches the Rfam family "Bacterial small subunit ribosomal RNA", at positions 8 to 1019 of the family's 1533-position model. The record is from RNAcentral. Lineage: Eukaryota; Metazoa; Chordata; Lepidosauria; Squamata.
CCCCAAAAACACAAAGUUUUGGUCCUAAACUUGCCGUUGUUUUUAAUCAAAAUUACACAUGCAAGCAUCCGCACACCAGUGAGAAUGCCCUAUAAAGUACCAAGGAGCAGGUAUCAGGCACAACCAAUUAGCCCAAGACACCUUGCUAUGCCACACCCACACGGGCACCCAGCAGUGAUAAAUAUUAAGCAAUGAGUGAACAACCAAUUCAAAGCUCGACUUAGUUAUGAAUACAAGGGCCGGUCAACCUCGUGCCAGCCACCGCGGUUAUACGAGGGGCCCAAAACACCGGACAUCGGCGUAAAUUAUGGCUAGAGAAAUCACUUACAACAUGGGAAAUAAACACAAACCCAACCGUAAAACCCGGGACAAAAGAAACUUAAAUUCCCAAUUACAAAGUAACUUGAACCCAUGAAGACUAAKAAACAAACUAGGAUUAGAUACCCUACUAUGCUUAGUUGUUAACACGACAUUAAACAACACUAAUGUCCGCCAGAGGAUUACGCGCGAAAAGCUUAAAACUCAAAGGACUUGGCGGUGCUCCGUAUUCGCCUUAGAGGAGCCUGUCCUAUAAUCGAUACUCCACGCUUUACCUCACCAUCUUUUGUAAAACAGCCUAUAUACCGCNGUCGCAAACUUACCC